UUUCCGUAGGUGAACCUGCGGAAGGAUCAUUAAAGAGACGUUGCCCUUCGGGGUAUACCUCCCACCCAUUGUUUAUUAUACCUUUGUUGCUUUGGCAGACCCGGCUUCGGCCCACCGGCUCCGGCUGGUCAGUGUCUGCCAGAGGACCUAAAACUCUGUUUGUUAAUAUUGUCUGAGUACUAUAUAAUAGUUAAAACUUUCAACAACGGAUCUCUUGGUUCUG
Molecule: unclassified non-coding RNA, 223 nt
Filed under: plant metagenome
Description: partial contains small subunit ribosomal RNA, internal transcribed spacer 1, and 5.8S ribosomal RNA
Source: RNAcentral